CGGGCUGUGGAUCAUUAAGCCUGGGAGUGCUUGGAGAUAAAGGAGGAAGCAGCCUGCAUAAAGGGGCAGAGAAUGGAGAGAAAAAUGUGGGUUAUGAAGAGUGAACAAUAUCUGUUAGAUUGACCGUUGUGACCUGGACUGUCAGAUUACCCCCUUUGUGUACUGGAUUGGCUGAGGACCUGAGUUUUAGGGUUACCCCUGAAGAAUGGAACGGACAACGAGAACAGAGCGUGCCAUUCACAGGCUGUAUCCAGGGAGCUCUGCAUGAGGGGAAGAUCAUCACUGUGACAGGGAGAGUCCUGCCAGGAUCCCAGAGGUUUCAUGUGAAUUUGCAAAGUGGCUCAAAAGAAGUACCUGACGUAGCCCUCCACUUCAACCCCCAAUAUGAUUCCAGACAACAUGUGGCCUGCAACACCAUGUAUAACUCUAAGUGGGGCCCAGAGGAGCGUAAAUAUUAAAUACCCAUGAGGAAUGAUUUACCCUCCUGUUCCUGGUCAACCGAGAUUCAUAUUCGGUCAGGAGACUUUUAUCACUUAUACUUAGGCUACACAUUUUUGUUUUACUGUGGACUUAUUGAAUUGUAUCAAUAUUCUAGAGCAAAAAAAGAUUCAAACCAUUCUUUUUUUCUCCAUGUGCCAUUGAUUUCUUGUCUCUCCUAAAUCCGGUCUCAUCCCAGGUGAUUGUGAAUGGUGCCCACUUCAUGGAGUACCUGCACCGGAUGUCAAUCACCCAAGUGGACACCAUCUUCGUGUAUGGGGGAGUGGAGAUCGAAUCCAUUGCCUUAUCCAACUCUGCAGUGAGGACUCCUGAAACAACCAGCAAACCAGGCUGUCGUAAUGUGAAUCAGUGGAUGUAAAGAAUCUAGCUAGCUAAAGCAUUUACUGCAAAUUGAAUGUACAAUUUUGGAAGCUUGCCUUGCUGAUAUUUGCCAUGCAAUACAGAAUAUGAAGUAACGUAGUUAUUAUGUUCUUGCUUAUUGCGCAGUGGAGGAUACAAAUACCCGUAUGGCUGUUUAGCUAGUUAUUUAGCUGAUCUGUGUAUGGACCCAAACAAUUGGUAUACAUAUCAGUUCAGAACCUAGCUAUGAACCUCAGCUGUCAUAGCCAGUUGUCAUUCAGACGGUUUUGAAGUUGAUAUUUUAAUGAAGCCUGUGGAUGAGUAGAAUAUAAUAUAAAUUUGUGCCAAGGAUGCAAGUCGUAUAUACAUGUAGUUAUUACCAUGCAUGAGAUCCAUCCCCACACUGUAGCCUGUACAUUUAAUAUAUUCACUGAUCCAUGUAUUCUACCUUGGUAAAUAAAGGUGCAGUU
Long non-coding RNA from Oncorhynchus gorbuscha (pink salmon), 1307 nucleotides. RefSeq lists it as uncharacterized. The transcript has 4 exons. Lineage: Eukaryota; Metazoa; Chordata; Actinopteri; Salmoniformes; Salmonidae. The record is from RefSeq and is a predicted model, not a curated record.